CAGCAGCCGCGGGAAUACGUAGGGUGCGAGCGUUAAUCGGAAUUACUGGGCGUAAAGCGUGCGCAGGCGGUUCGUUAAGACAGAUGUGAAAUCCCCGGGCUUAACCUGGGAACUGCAUUUGUGACUGACGGGCUAGAGUAUGGCAGAGGGGGGUAGAAUUCCACGUGUAGCAGUGAAAUGCGUAGAGAUGUGGAGGAAUACCGAUGGCGAAGGCAGCCCCCUGGGCCAAUACUGACGCUCAUGCACGAAAGCGUGGGGAGCAAACAGGAUUAGAUACCCCAGUAGUCCCUGUCUCUUAUAC
This 301-nucleotide ribosomal RNA is filed under the name uncultured bacterium. Its description in RNAcentral is "partial 16S ribosomal RNA". It matches the Rfam family "Bacterial small subunit ribosomal RNA", at positions 509 to 807 of the family's 1533-position model. The record is from RNAcentral.